UAGCAUGGAAAAACCUCAGCUGGAUGUCUCUGGCAUUGCAGUUCAAGAGGAUGUGGACCAGUUGGAAAGAGCCCAAGGAGGAGCAUUGAGCAUAAUUAGGGGUCUUGGAUAUGACCAAGGAGGACCAUUUCCAGAUCUCUCCACUGGCUCUGGGUAACCCAGAUAUCGGAGUAAACAAUAAACUGACCCAACCAGCAGACAGCCCCAUGGGAAGCAGAGGUUUCCAACUGGACAUCGAGCCAUUUACCACAACUCUUUGCGUGCGGCCAUCGAGCCAGUUUUUGAUCCACCGAGUGGUCCAUCUAUCAAAUUGAUGUCUCUCCAACUUAGAGACAAGGAUGUCAUGCAGGACAGCGUCGAACGCUUUGCACAAGUCCAGGUAGAUGACGCCAACUGCUCUGCCGCUGUCCAUCAGUUCCGUGGCUCCAUCAUAGAAGGCCACCAAAUUGGUCAGACAGGAUUUCCCCUUAGUGAAGCCAUGUUGGCUGUCACCAACCACCUCGUUGUUUUUCAUGUGCCUUAGCAUGUUUUCCAGGAGAAACUGUUCCAAGAUUUUGCCAGGCACAGAGGUGAGGCUGACUGGUCUGUAGUUCCCUGGGUCUUCCAUCUUCCCCUUCUUGAAAAUGGGGGUUAUAUUACCCUUCUUCCAGUCAUCGGGAACUUCACCUGACUGUCAGGAUUCCAAUGCCCCUGCCAUGGGCAGGGAUGCCUCACACCAGACCAUGUCACACAAGGCUCUGUCCAACCUGGCCUUGAACACUGAGCAUUCACAACUUCCUUGGCCAACCUGUUCCAGUGUCUCACCACCCCCACAGUAAAGAACUUCCUCCUUAUAUCUUACCUAAACUUCCCCUGUUUAAGUUUGAAGCCCUUUGUCCUCUUGUCCUUAUCGCUACAGUCCCUAAUGAAGAGUCCCU
RNAcentral lists this long non-coding RNA (917 nucleotides) under Strigops habroptila (Kakapo). RNAcentral's name for it is "lncRNA (ENSSHBG00005012106.1)". Lineage: Eukaryota; Metazoa; Chordata; Aves; Psittaciformes; Psittacidae. The record is from RNAcentral.